This 990-nucleotide long non-coding RNA is filed under the name Takifugu rubripes (torafugu). Its description in RNAcentral is "lncRNA (ENSTRUG00000028820.1)". The record is from RNAcentral. Lineage: Eukaryota; Metazoa; Chordata; Actinopteri; Tetraodontiformes; Tetraodontidae.
AGGAAGCCGACACGCGUCCUCGUGCUGCGUCGUGCUCGGAGAGAGGGCGUGUCUGCAAGCUGCAGACGAACAGCUCCACUUAGAGAAGAGCUGAGGAUCCUGUCGUGCAAAAUGGAACUUUUCUAACUUUGCUAUCAAUUUUCUAAGGUCACUUUACUCUCACAGGCCAAUUACUCACAAAACUGUGGAACAUCUGUGACUCAUCCUCAUUGCAUGAGUCCUCUUAUCUUCCUUAAAGAUAAUCUGGCGUGCCCUAAAUGCCACAGUAUCUCGGGCUCUGCAAACUGUAUCUAUGAUUUAACAAGAAAUAUAUUAUUGAUUUAGAAAUGAUGUCCAUGUCCCGAGCCUGGGUGGCACCGUGUUUGUGCCGUCUUUCUCCUGGCGUCUGUUCUCAGAUGGGCCACAUCUGCAGGGCUGGAGCCAUCAGGCACCUGCUGAAAGCUUCUCGGGUUUCCUCCUGGGGAGGCCUUAAUAAUCUUGCUUGAUGUGUCAGCAGAGGUCCUUCUUCUAACACCAACCACAGACGCCACGCUACACAUUCACAAGGUCAGGAUGAGCCACGUCUUUGCAUUCCUUCAGCAGCCACACAUAAACCCAUUUUUUUUGUGCAUAUUUUAAUGAAAUGAAUUCCCUCGUGUGCAUCUUUUAAAAGGGCUGCGUUCUCUCUUGUUUAUGGAGUACUGCUGUGUGUUUAUGAUAAAAAAAAAUAAAACAUCAACUGCACGAAGCAACCGCUUUAAUGAGUAAAGACAAUGUGACUCGAUUAUUAAAAAUAUUUUGCCAUGCUCAUUUUUGUUCCUACUUCAAAGCAGUUCAUUACAUUUUGUUAAUUAAACCUAGAAUAAUUGAGCGCAGCUUCAAACGGCGGAUUUCUGGCGCUCAUUGAAAUAUGGAUUGGGCUUUGGAAGCCUCAUUUCUGAACAUCCAGACCCUGGAAUGCCCCAAACCAGCUCAGUCUCCUGCACCAUCAUGGAGACCCCUCUCUCCUGU